Arvicanthis niloticus (Nile rat) is the source of this 127-nucleotide small nucleolar RNA. RefSeq annotates it as small nucleolar RNA SNORA17. Lineage: Eukaryota; Metazoa; Chordata; Mammalia; Rodentia; Muridae. The record is from RefSeq and is a predicted model, not a curated record.
CCUAUCCCAAGAGGCAUUGUGUGUGUGGCUGGUGUGUCACAUGUGCAUCAGUAGGUGGCAGAGAAGAGAGGUUACGUCUAUGCUCAGUGUUCUUAUCUAUGAACAUCUGAAUUAGUAUCCUAAUGUU